UGGCGCUCAUGUUUACAAGAUGGUAGUGGAGGAUUUUUCGAUCUGAUUUACAAACAGAAAGUAUUAACGCUUGAUUCCUGACGUAUUGACUCUUAAAUCCUCCUUUAGUCUCGGUUUCCAUCGAAAAGUGGACUCAGUUUUAAGAAAGAAACGCAGCAGGCUCUCUUUGCUCUCAAUGUGUUUUAAAUAGCAGAUGAGAUUAUUUUUGCACAGUCACUGACAGACACACGGACCAACAGACACACAGACAGGACUAUACCUUUGAUAAAUACACAGGACUGUCUAUUGGGUCUGCAGGAGUGUCCCUGAAUCCAGCCGAAUGAACAGAGCGACUGCAAAGCAUCUAAUCGAGCGCUACUUUCGGCAGUUAACCGAGGGCUGUGGAAAUGGCGACUGCACGAACGAGAUUUGUGCAUCGUGUCCCGACUUCAGAUCGCUGGAUAGCAACACGGCGGCCGCCAAAGCGCUGGAUCUGUUCAAGGUUAACGCCAAACUCUGUAACCCCAACCCCUCCAAGAAAGAGCAAGACUCUGAUCUGGUCAAUAAGAUGACGGACGUUGGAAACGCCAAAGAAAACUUCUCAGGUAAC
Long non-coding RNA from Notothenia coriiceps (black rockcod), 589 nucleotides. RefSeq lists it as uncharacterized. The transcript is spliced from 3 exons. The record is from RefSeq and is a predicted model, not a curated record. Lineage: Eukaryota; Metazoa; Chordata; Actinopteri; Perciformes; Nototheniidae.